This 468-nucleotide ribosomal RNA is filed under the name uncultured bacterium. Its description in RNAcentral is "partial 16S ribosomal RNA". It matches the Rfam family "Bacterial small subunit ribosomal RNA", at positions 28 to 507 of the family's 1533-position model. The record is from RNAcentral.
GACGAACGCUGGCGGCGUGCUUAACACAUGCAAGUCGAACGGAAAGGCCCUGCUUUUGUGGGGUGCUCGAGUGGCGAACGGGUGAGUAACACGUGAGUAACCUGCCCCUGACUUUGGGAUAACUUCAGGAAACUGGGGCUAAUACCGGAUAGGAGCUCCUGCUGCAUGGUGGGGGGUGGAAAGUUUCGGCGGUUGGGGAUGGACUCGCGGCUUAUCAGCUUGUUGGUGGGGUAGUGGCUUACCAAGGCUUUGACGGGUAGCCGGCCUGAGAGGGUGACCGGCCACAUUGGGACUGAGAUACGGCCCAGACUCCUACGGGAGGCAGCAGUGGGGAAUAUUGCACAAUGGGCGGAAGCCUGAUGCAGCAACGCCGCGUGCGGGAUGACGGCCUUCGGGUUGUAAACCGCUUUCGCCUGUGACGAAGCGUGAGUGACGGUAAUGGGUAAAGAAGCACCGGCUAACUACGUG